CCGUACUAUUAUGGUCCGACGCGCGAGAAAGACCGGACAGGUUCAGAUUAUUAUUGUUACAAACCGCCAGCUUAAUUUAACUCAAUUGGUAAAAGAGUUGGUUAAAGAUUUCCCAGAAGUUGUGACAGUAGCUGUUAAUACAAAUACAGCUAAAACCAGUGAGAUAUAUGGUGAAAAGACAGAGAUUAUCUGGGGGCAAGAGAGUAUUCAAGAAGGUGUACUCAAUUAUGAAUUUUCACUAUCCCCUCGAGCUUUUUAUCAACUAAAUCCUGAGCAAACAGAAGUCCUCUAUAGCGAAGCAGUAAAAGCGCUGGAUGUUGAUAAAGAAGACCAUUUGAUUGACGCUUAUUGUGGAGUUGGAACGAUUGGAUUUGCCUUUGCAAAGAAAGUAAAAACACUCAGAGGUAUGGAUAUUAUUCCAGAAGCUAUUGAAGAUGCCAAGCGAAAUGCUAAAAGAAUGGGAUUUGACAAUACUCAUUAUGAAGCUGGAACGGCAGAAGAGAUUAUUCCUCGUUGGUACAAGGAAGGCUACCGAGCAGAUGCUUUGAUUGUUGACCCACCACGUACAGGUCUGGAUGAUAAGUUAUUAGAUACUAUUCUUACUUAUGUACCAGAAAAAAUGGUUUAUAUUUCUUGUAAUGUUUCGACCUUGGCUCGUGAUUUGGUACGCUUAGUAGAAGUCUAUGAUCUUCAUUAUAUCCAGUCGGUCGAUAUGUUCCCACAUACAGCUCGAACUGAAGCUGUUGUAAAAUUAAUAAAAAAAGUUUAAAAAAGUAGUUGACAAAGUUUGAAAAGACUGUAUAAUAGUAAGAGUUGAAAAUAACAACUCAGGUCCGUUGGUCAAGGGGUUAAGACACCGCCUUUUCACGGCGGUAACACGGGUUCGAAUCCCGUACGGACUAUGGUAUGUUGCGGUUGGAACACUUGAUGAAAAAAAGUUUAAAAAAACUUAAAAAUCUUCAAAAAAGUGUUGACAAGUGAAAGUGGCUGUGAUAUACUAAUAUAGUUGUCGCUUGAGAGAAGCAAGUGACAAAGACCUUUGAAAACUGAACAAGACGAACCAAUGUGCAGGGCGCUACAACAUAAGUUGUAGUACUGAACAAUGAAAAAAACAAUAAAUCUGUCAGUGACAGAAAUGAGUGAGAACUCAAACUUUUAAUGAGAGUUUGAUCCUGGCUCAGGACGAACGCUGGCGGCGUGCCUAAUACAUGCAAGUAGAACGCUGAAGGAGGAGCUUGCUUCUCUGGAUGAGUUGCGAACGGGUGAGAAUCCUGUCCACCGUAAGACUAAGGUUUCCAGGGGAAGGCUCGUCCGCCCUGGGUUAGUCGGGACCUAAGGAGAGACCGAAAGGUGUAUCCGAUGGACAACAGGUUGAUAUUCCUGUACUAGAGUAUGUAGUGAUGGAGGGACGCAGUAGGCUAACUAAAGCAGACGAUUGGAAGAGUCUGUCUAAGCAGUGAGGUGUGAAUUGAGUCAAAUGCUUAAUUCUAUAACAUUGAGCUGUGAUGGGGAGCGAAGUUUAGUAGCGAAGUUAGUGACGUCACACUGCCAAGAAAAGCUUCUAGCGUUUAAACAUACUCUACCCGUACCGCAAACCGACACAGGUAGUCGAGGCGAGUAGCCUCAGGUGAGCGAGAGAACUCUCGUUAAGGAACUCGGCAAAAUGACCCCGUAACUUCGGGAGAAGGGGUGCUGACUUAAAGUCAGCCGCAGUGAAUAGGCCCAAGCAACUGUUUAUCAAAAACACAGCUCUCUGCUAAAUCGUAAGAUGAUGUAUAGGGGGUGACGCCUGCCCGGUGCUGGAAGGUUAAGAGGAGUGCUUAGCGUAAGCGAAGGUAUGAAUUGAAGCCCCAGUAAACGGCGGCCGUAACUAUAACGGUCCUAAGGUAGCGAAAUUCCUUGUCGGGUAAGUUCCGACCCGCACGAAAGGCGUAAUGAUUUGGGCACUGUCUCAACGAGAGACUCGGUGAAAUUUUAGUACCUGUGAAGAUGCAGGUUACCCGCGACAGGACGGAAAGACCCCAUGGAGCUUUACUGCAGUUUGUAUAUUGAGUGUCUGUACCACAUGUACAGGAUAGGUAGGAGUCUAAGAGAUCGGGACGCCAGUUUCGAAGGAGACGCUGUUGGGAUACUACCCUUGUGUUAUGGCCACUCUAACCCAGAUAGGUGAUCCCUAUCGGAGACAGUGUCUGACGGGCAGUUUGACUGGGGCGGUCGCCUCCUAAAAGGUAACGGAGGCGCCCAAAGGUUCCCUCAGAAUGGUUGGAAAUCAUUCGCAGAGUGUAAAGGUAUAAGGGAGCUUGACUGCGAGAGCUACAACUCGAGCAGGGACGAAAGUCGGGCUUAGUGAUCCGGUGGUUCCGUAUGGAAGGGCCAUCGCUCAACGGAUAAAAGCUACCCUGGGGAUAACAGGCUUAUCUCCCCCAAGAGUUCACAUCGACGGGGAGGUUUGGCACCUCGAUGUCGGCUCGUCGCAUCCUGGGGCUGUAGUCGGUCCCAAGGGUUGGGCUGUUCGCCCAUUAAAGCGGCACGCGAGCUGGGUUCAGAACGUCGUGAGACAGUUCGGUCCCUAUCCGUCGCGGGCGUAGGAAAUUUGAGAGGAUCUGCUCCUAGUACGAGAGGACCAGAGUGGACUUACCGCUGGUGUACCAGUUGUCUUGCCAAAGGCAUCGCUGGGUAGCUAUGUAGGGAAGGGAUAAACGCUGAAAGCAUCUAAGUGUGAAACCCACCUCAAGAUGAGAUUUCCCAUGAUUAU
Molecule: ribosomal RNA, 2755 nt
Filed under: Streptococcus pneumoniae GA02506
Lineage: Bacteria; Bacillati; Bacillota; Bacilli; Lactobacillales; Streptococcaceae
Description: bacterial LSU rRNA
Rfam family: Bacterial large subunit ribosomal RNA (bases 1146-2755)
Source: RNAcentral